This 255-nucleotide ribosomal RNA is filed under the name Escherichia coli. RNAcentral describes it as "partial 16S ribosomal RNA". It matches the Rfam family "Bacterial small subunit ribosomal RNA", at positions 1 to 244 of the family's 1533-position model. Lineage: Bacteria; Pseudomonadati; Pseudomonadota; Gammaproteobacteria; Enterobacterales; Enterobacteriaceae. The record is from RNAcentral.
UUUAAAGAGAGUUUGAUCCUGGCUCAGGACGAACGCUGGCGGCGUGCCUAAUACAUGCAAGUCGAACGAACGGAGGAAGAGCUUGCUCUUCCAAAGUUAGUGGCGGACGGGUGAGUAACACGUGGGCAACCUGCCUGUAAGUUGGGGAUAACUCCGGGAAACCGGGGCUAAUACCGAAUGAUAAAGUGUGGCGCAUGCCACGCUUUUGAAAGAUGGUUUCGGCUAUCGCUUACAGAUGGGCCAGCGGUGCAUUAG